AUCCCAUGGUGGGGACAUUAUCUAAUUAACUCUUUAAGUAAUUCCCAUGCAUCAUAUAAAGAUUUGUCAUCUUCUUGUCUAAACAAAGUGGUCCCAUUCCUCAUCUU
Molecule: small nucleolar RNA, 107 nt
Organism: Lathyrus oleraceus (garden pea)
Lineage: Eukaryota; Viridiplantae; Streptophyta; Magnoliopsida; Fabales; Fabaceae
Source: RefSeq, a predicted model, not a curated record